This 389-nucleotide ribosomal RNA is filed under the name uncultured bacterium. RNAcentral describes it as "bacterial SSU rRNA". It matches the Rfam family "Bacterial small subunit ribosomal RNA", at positions 28 to 417 of the family's 1533-position model. The record is from RNAcentral.
GACGAACGCUGGCGGCGUGCUUAACACAUGCAAGUCGAGCGGUAAGGCCCUUUCGGGGGUACGACGAGCGGCGAACGGGUGAGUAACACGUGGGUGACCUGCCCUCAGCUCUGGGAUAAGCCUGGGAAACUGGGUCUAAUACUGGAUAUGACUCCACGGUGCAUGUCGUGGGGUGGAAAGCCUUGUGCGGCUGAGGAUGGGCCCGCGGCCUAUCAGCUUGUUGGUGGGGUGANGGCCUACCAAGGCGACGACGGGUAGCCGGCCUGAGAGGGCGACCGGCCACACUGGGACUGAGACACGGCCCAGACUCCUACGGGAGGCAGCAGUGGGGAAUCUUGCGCAAUGGGCGAAAGCCUGACGCAGCGACGCCGCGUGAGGGAUGACGGCCU